Molecule: unclassified non-coding RNA, 287 nt
Filed under: Hevea brasiliensis (rubber tree)
Lineage: Eukaryota; Viridiplantae; Streptophyta; Magnoliopsida; Malpighiales; Euphorbiaceae
Source: RNAcentral
CUCCCACAUAGGAUUCAUGAAGUUUAAAUAAAAAUUUCUCUUCCAGGUAUAAACAGCAAACAAAUCACUGUAUACAUGAAUCCAAACUGACAAUAUAAUAGCAAUUCGAAUAAUUGGUAAUGAUCAUUGCAAUAAAAAAAGAUCUAUAUCAUUCUAAAAAAAUAAAUAAAAACUCAAUCCACCAGAUAUACAUUAAAGAAAUGGAUUUCACAGCAAAAUUAACAUACCCAGAUCAGAAAACCGACUAAAAAUCCAUGCCCAUCACAACAACAACUAAAGAAACACAA